UAGAGUUUGAUCCUGGCUCAGAACGAACGCUGGCGGCAGGCCUCAAACAUGCAAGUCUAGGGGGUGUAGCAAUACAUCACCGGCGGACGGGUGCGUAACACGUGGGAAUAUACCUUUUGGUUCGGAACAACGCAGGGAAACUUGCGCUAAUACCGAAUGUGCCCUUACGGGGAAAGAUUUAUCGCCAAAGGAUUAGCCCGCGUAGGAUUAGCUAGUUGGUGAGGUAAUGGCUCACCAAGGCUCCGAUCCUUAGCUGUUCUGAGAGGAAGAUCAGCCACACUGGGACUGAGACACGGCCCAGACUCCUACGGGAGGCAGCAGUUGGGAAUAUUGGACAAUGGGCGCAAGCCUGAUCCAGCCAUGCCGCGUGAGUGAUGAAGGCCCUAGGGUUGUAAAGCUCUUUUGUGCGGGAAGAUAAUGACGGUACCGCAAGAAUAAGCCCCGGCUAACUUCGUGCCAGCAGCCGCGGUAAUGCGACGUCGGGCC
RNAcentral lists this ribosomal RNA (486 nucleotides) under uncultured bacterium. RNAcentral's name for it is "bacterial SSU rRNA". It matches the Rfam family "Bacterial small subunit ribosomal RNA", at positions 1 to 536 of the family's 1533-position model. The record is from RNAcentral.